GAAAAAAUACUCAUAAGGUUCAGUGAAAAAAAAAAAGAGACUAUGAGGUGGAAGUCAUAAUCAUCGUGACAUUAUUAUAGAGUAAGUAGUCCAAAAAAGGACUCAUAUGACGGCAAAAAUUAAAGAAAAAA
RNAcentral lists this small RNA (131 nucleotides) under Arabidopsis thaliana (thale cress). RNAcentral's name for it is "ATSL280880". The record is from RNAcentral. Lineage: Eukaryota; Viridiplantae; Streptophyta; Magnoliopsida; Brassicales; Brassicaceae.